UCAGACGUUCUGGUGGAAAUUAGCUUCUGA
RNAcentral lists this non-coding RNA (30 nucleotides) under Rattus norvegicus (Norway rat). Lineage: Eukaryota; Metazoa; Chordata; Mammalia; Rodentia; Muridae. The record is from RNAcentral.